UGUCCUUACGCCACCUUAGGCGCAGCACUGUUAAUUCGAACACAACAGUGAAUGGUGGCUCGUACCCGUAUGGACAAGAAAAUUCCUUCUCUAGCCCAGGAUCGAACUCAGUACCUUACGGUUGCGAAAUACUGAGCCGACGCUUCUGGCUUCUAACCACCAAGCUACGGACGCUGUGUUUAAUGAAACAACUCUGAGUAAAAAGCAUCAACGAAAAAUGUAUCCAUGUUGUCUAUAGGGCCUUUUUUUUUCCCGACUUUUUCUUCUUGAGUUUACGUUUGGAAUAUAACGUAAAAUAUAAGAGUGCUGUCGACAGAGAAUUCAAUUUACCUAAGACCCAAGAACAUCAAGGAUACUGAACGAGCGCUGCAGAUUUUUGGUUUAUGUUCAAUUUUUGUCUUCACGAGUUUGGACUCACAGGAUUGAGAAUUGGUGACGUAGUUUUAAUAAUAGUUUCAAUCCUGCUGUUCAUCAAACUGGUAUGUACAGAUAAUUUCGCUUUCGAUUGCUGGUACCAAUCAAGAAUACCUUGUGACAUAGGAACUUUUCUAGUGAAGUUGAUUUUGGAGUUUUGACAUUAAUAAGUGAAUAUCUGAAUAUCUGAACCUAUAGAGUAAAUACACAUAUAAAUGAUCAUUAUUGUUUAAAUACAAAAUUUGUCAACUGAUCUUGAUCAAGUGAGGUGCACCUUCAAUAUUUUUUUGUGAAAGCUUUAAUAUUAUUACGUUACUACUUAAUGUUAGGCUCAAGAUUUUGUUGGAAAUUUCGCUAGAAUUGUGCUCGAAUUCGACGUUACAUAUUAAAUUCUUUUCAUAUUC
This is a long non-coding RNA of Coccinella septempunctata (seven-spotted ladybird), 818 nucleotides long. RefSeq lists it as uncharacterized. NCBI's taxonomy places the organism in Eukaryota, Metazoa, Arthropoda, Insecta, Coleoptera, Coccinellidae. The transcript has 2 exons. The record is from RefSeq and is a predicted model, not a curated record.